GACGAACGCUGGCGGCGUGCUUAACACAUGCAAGUCGAACGCUGAAGCUUGGUGCUUGCACUGGGUGGAUGAGUGGCGAACGGGUGAGUAAUAAGUGAGUAACCUGCCCUUGACUCUGGGAUAAGCCUGGGAAACUGGGUCUAAUACUGGAUACGACAUGUCACCGCAUGGUGGUGUGUGGAAAGGGUUUUACUGGUUUUGGAUGGGCUCACGGCCUAUCAGCCUGUUGGUGGGGUAAUGGCUCACCAAGGCGACGACGGGUAGCCGGCCUGAGAGGGUGACCGGCCACACUGGGACUGAGACACGGCCCAGACUCCUACGGGAGGCAGCAGUGGGGAAUAUUGCACAAUGGGCGGAAGCCUGAUGCAGCGACGCCGCGUGAGGGAUGACGGCCUUCGGGUUGUAAACCUCUUUCAGCACGGAAGAAGCGAAAGUGACGGUACGUGCAGAAGAAGCGCCGGCUAACUACGUG
RNAcentral lists this ribosomal RNA (472 nucleotides) under uncultured bacterium. RNAcentral describes it as "partial 16S ribosomal RNA". It matches the Rfam family "Bacterial small subunit ribosomal RNA", at positions 28 to 507 of the family's 1533-position model. The record is from RNAcentral.